RNAcentral lists this ribosomal RNA (490 nucleotides) under uncultured bacterium. RNAcentral's name for it is "partial 16S ribosomal RNA". It matches the Rfam family "Bacterial small subunit ribosomal RNA", at positions 30 to 507 of the family's 1533-position model. The record is from RNAcentral.
AUUGAACGCUGGCGGCAGGCCUAACACAUGCAAGUCGAACGGUAACAGGAAACAGCUUGCUGUUUCGCUGACGAGUGGCGGACGGGUGAGUAAUGUCUGGGAAACUGCCUGAUGGAGGGGGAUAACUACUGGAAACGGUAGCUAAUACCGCAUAACGUCGCAAGACCAAAGAGGGGGACCUUCGUGCCUCUUGCCAUCGGAUGUGCCCAGAUGGGAUUAGCUAGUAGGUGGGGUAACGGCUCACCUAGGCGACGAUCCCUAGCUGGUCUGAGAGGAGGACCAGCCACACUGGAACUGAGACACGGUCCAGACUCCUACGGGAGGCAGCAGUGGGGAAUAUUGCACAAUGGGCGCAAGCCUGAUGCAGCCAGGCCGCGUGUAUGAAGAAGGCCUUCGGGUUGUAAAGUACUUUCAGCGGGGAUGAAGGGAGUAAAGUUAAUACCUUGGCUGAUUGACGUUACCCGCAGAAGAAGCACCGGCUAACUCCGUG